Small nuclear RNA from Gorilla gorilla gorilla (western lowland gorilla), 58 nucleotides. NCBI's taxonomy places the organism in Eukaryota, Metazoa, Chordata, Mammalia, Primates, Hominidae. The record is from Ensembl.
GUGCUUGCUUUGGCAGCAUAUAUACUAAAUUUGGAACAAUACAGAGAAGAUUAGCAUG